AUUGAACGCUGGCGGCAGGCCUACCACAUGCAAGUCGAGCGAGCGGCGGACGGGUGAGUAAUGUCUGGGAACCUGCCUGAUGGAGGGGGAUAACUACUGGAAACGGUAGCUAAUACCGCAUACCAUCAGAUGUGCCCAGAUGGGCUUAGCUGGUAGGUGGGGUAACGGCUCACCUAGGCGACGAUCCCUAGCUGGUCUGAGAGGAUGACCAGCCACACUGGAACUGAGACACGGUCCAGACUCCUACGGGAGUCAGCAGUGGGGAAUAGUGCACAAUGGGCGCAAGCCUGAUGCAGCCAUGCCGCGUGGGUGAAGAAGGCCUUCGGGUUGGAAAGCACUUGAAGCGGGGAGGCGUUACCCGCAGAAGAAGCACCGGCUAACUCCGUGCCAGCCGCCGCGGUAAUUC
This 406-nucleotide ribosomal RNA is filed under the name uncultured bacterium. RNAcentral's name for it is "partial 16S ribosomal RNA". It matches the Rfam family "Bacterial small subunit ribosomal RNA", at positions 29 to 526 of the family's 1533-position model. The record is from RNAcentral.